AGGGCACCACCAGGAGUGGAGCCUGCGGCUUAAUUUGACUCAACACGGGAAAACUCACCCGGCCCGGACACUGUAAGGAUUGACAGACUGAGAGCUCUUUCUUAAUUCAGUGGGUGGUGGUGCAUGGCCGUUCUUAGUUGGUGGAGCGAUUUGUCUGGUUAAUUCCGAUAACCAACGAGACUCUGGCCUAUUAAAUAGACGAGAUAUUACUCAGUAUCUCGCGCUUCUUAGAGGGACAAGCGGCGUCUACUCGCAUGAAAAAGAGGAAUAACAGGUCUGUGAUGCCCUUAGAUGUCCGGGGCUGCACGCGCGCUACACUGAAAGAAUCAGUGGGCGUUUUACCUGGUUCGGAAGAACCGGGUAACCCAAGUAAUUUCUUUCGUGCUUGGGAUAGGGAAUUGCAAUUAUUUCCCUUAAACGAGGAAUUCCCAGUAAACGCGGGUCAUAAGCUCGUGUUGAUUACCUCCCUGCCCUUUGUACACACCGCCCGUCGCUACUACCGAUUGGAUGACUUAGUGA
This 519-nucleotide ribosomal RNA is filed under the name uncultured eukaryote. RNAcentral's name for it is "SSU rRNA". It matches the Rfam family "Eukaryotic small subunit ribosomal RNA", at positions 1161 to 1704 of the family's 1831-position model. The record is from RNAcentral.